RNAcentral lists this transfer RNA (93 nucleotides) under Mycolicibacterium chlorophenolicum. RNAcentral's name for it is "tRNA-His". Lineage: Bacteria; Bacillati; Actinomycetota; Actinomycetes; Mycobacteriales; Mycobacteriaceae. The record is from RNAcentral.
GUGCCCGAGGCGCUGGCGGCGCUGGCCGCCGUGCGCGGCCGGCUAAGUCGGAGCCGGGCGCCGGCCGGGAGUUCCGUCCCGACCCGGGCGGCC